AAAAAGACAAACCCUGGGUUUUCGUGUCCAACUUUGACUGUCCGUCUUAUAUGAAAUUUUUUUAUAAUUCGUAUUUUCAUUGUUGUUAGAUGAUAAAACAUGAUUAAUAUUUUAUGCGUGACUUGUCUUGUUAAUUUUUUCAAAUAAGACGGACGGUCAACAUGUUGGACACGGAAAACAGGGUUUGUCUUUUU
This is a non-coding RNA of Oryza glumipatula, 194 nucleotides long. NCBI's taxonomy places the organism in Eukaryota, Viridiplantae, Streptophyta, Magnoliopsida, Poales, Poaceae. The record is from Rfam.